Molecule: transfer RNA, 65 nt
Filed under: Simenchelys sp. YL-2021
Lineage: Eukaryota; Metazoa; Chordata; Actinopteri; Anguilliformes; Synaphobranchidae
Description: tRNA-Cys
Rfam family: tRNA
About the family: Transfer RNA (tRNA) molecules are approximately 80 nucleotides in length. Their secondary structure includes four short double-helical elements and three loops (D, anti-codon, and T loops).
Source: RNAcentral
GGCCUUGUGGUGAAGAACAUAUCAGAUUGCAAACCUGAAGACGCAGAUGACCCCUGCCGAGGCCU